This 97-nucleotide transfer RNA is filed under the name Streptomyces sindenensis. Its description in RNAcentral is "tRNA-Pro". Lineage: Bacteria; Bacillati; Actinomycetota; Actinomycetes; Kitasatosporales; Streptomycetaceae. The record is from RNAcentral.
GCGUGGCGAGCGUCCCGGCGUAAGCACCCGCCGGUACGGGCCCGGCCCGCACACCCCUCGGGGUGUGCGGGCCGGUUCGCGUUCCGGGGCCGCGGUC